Non-coding RNA from Amylocystis lapponica, 93 nucleotides. Lineage: Eukaryota; Fungi; Basidiomycota; Agaricomycetes; Polyporales; Postiaceae. The record is from the annotation of a GenBank genome assembly.
GUUCCUGUCGAUUAGUGGUUAGAUCAUCACGUUGUGGCGGUCUCCUGAGAAGCAGAAACCGUGAAGACGGGGGCUCGACUCCCCCCAGGAACA